UACGUAGGGGGCAAGCGUUGUCCGGAAUCAUUGGGCGUAAAGCGCGCGUAGGCGGCCCGGUAAGUCCGCUCUGAAAGUCCAGGGCUCAACCCUGGAAAGCGGGUGGAUACUGCCGGGCUAGAAUCCGGAAGAGGCGAGUGGAAUUCCCGGUGUAGCGGUGGAAUGCGCAGAUAUCAGGAGGAACACCAAUAGCGAAGGCAGCUCGCUGGGACGUUACUGACACUGAGGCGCGAAAGCGUGGGGAGCGAACAGG
RNAcentral lists this ribosomal RNA (253 nucleotides) under uncultured bacterium. Its description in RNAcentral is "partial 16S ribosomal RNA". It matches the Rfam family "Bacterial small subunit ribosomal RNA", at positions 524 to 776 of the family's 1533-position model. The record is from RNAcentral.